RNAcentral lists this transfer RNA (51 nucleotides) under Acanthobothrium sp. MZUSP 7998. RNAcentral describes it as "tRNA-Tyr". The record is from RNAcentral. Lineage: Eukaryota; Metazoa; Platyhelminthes; Cestoda; Tetraphyllidea; Onchobothriidae.
UCUAAUUUAACAUAUAUGUAAGCGCAUCAAAUUUUACACAUGAUGCGCUUG